RNAcentral lists this ribosomal RNA (279 nucleotides) under uncultured bacterium. RNAcentral's name for it is "partial 16S ribosomal RNA". It matches the Rfam family "Bacterial small subunit ribosomal RNA", at positions 506 to 784 of the family's 1533-position model. The record is from RNAcentral.
UGCCAGCCGCCGCGGUAAGACGGAGGGUGCGAACGUUGUUCGGAAUCACUGGGCAUAAAGCGCGCGUAGGCGGUCCACUAAGUCAGUUGUGAAAUCCCUCGGCUCAACCGAGGAACUGCAACUGAUACUGGUGGACUUGAGGAUGGUAGGGGUGAGCGGAACUCCAGGUGGAGCGGUGAAAUGCGUAGAUAUCUGGAGGAACACCGGUGGCGAAAGCGGCUCACUGGACCAUCACUGACGCUGAGGUGCGAAAGCUAGGGUAGCAAACGGGAUUAGAUA